This 408-nucleotide ribosomal RNA is filed under the name Cryptocercus punctulatus (brown-hooded cockroach). RNAcentral's name for it is "16S rRNA". Lineage: Eukaryota; Metazoa; Arthropoda; Insecta; Blattodea; Cryptocercidae. The record is from RNAcentral.
UUACGCUGUUAUCCCUAAGGUAAUUUAGUCUUAUAAUCAUUAAAAAUGGAUCAAAAACUUAUAAAUAAAUAUAAAAAAAUAAAAAGAGUUAUAUUAAUCUUCCCAUCACCCCAACAAAAUUCAAAUAAUACUAAAAAUCUUAUCCCACAAAAAAUAAAAAUCGAAUUAAACUCUAUAGGGUCUUCUCGUCCCACAAAAAUAUUUAGGCAUUUUAACCUAAAAUUUAAAUUCAACAAAAUAAAAAUUUAAGAAAGUAAAUACCUCGUCAAACCUUUCAUACAAGCAUUCAAUUAAAAAACUAAUGAUUAUGCUACCUUUGCACAGUCAAAAUACUGCGGCCAUUUUAAAAUCAGUGGGCAGGCAAUACUUCAAAUAAAUACAAGAAGAGAUGUUUUUGUUAAACAGGCG